RNAcentral lists this ribosomal RNA (396 nucleotides) under uncultured bacterium. Its description in RNAcentral is "partial 16S ribosomal RNA". It matches the Rfam family "Bacterial small subunit ribosomal RNA", at positions 523 to 918 of the family's 1533-position model. The record is from RNAcentral.
AUACGUAGGUGACAAGCGUUAUCCGGAUUUACUGGGCGUAAAGGGCGUGUAGGCGGUCUUGCAAGUCAGAAGUGAAAUUCCUGAGCUCAACCGGGCGCUGCUUCUGAAACUGCAGGACUUGAGUGCUGGAGGGGAUAGCGGAAUUCCUAGUGGAGCGGUAAAAUGCGCAGAUAUUAGGAAGAACACCGGUGGCGAAGGCGGCUUUCUGGACAGUAACUGACGCUGAGGAGCGAAAGCGUGGGGAGAAAACAGGAUUAGAUACCCUGGGAGCCCACGCCGUAAACGAUGAAUACUAGGUGUAGGGGGUAUCGACCCCCUCUGUGCCGCAGUUAACACAAUAAGUAUUCCGCCUGGGGAGUACGGCCGCAAGGUUGAAACUCAAAUGAAUUGGCGGGG